Molecule: ribosomal RNA, 855 nt
Filed under: uncultured bacterium
Lineage: Bacteria
Description: bacterial SSU rRNA
Rfam family: Bacterial small subunit ribosomal RNA
Source: RNAcentral
CACGGCGCACGGGUGCGUAACACGUGGGCAAUCUGCCCUCCGAUGGGGAAUAACCCCGCGAAAGCGGGGCUAAUACCGCAUAACAUUCCUUGGACUGCGGUUUGAGGAUUCAAAGCAGUGAUGCGUCGGAGGAGGAGCCCGCGCCCGAUUAGCUAGUUGGUGAGGUAACGGCUCACCAAGGCAAUGAUCGGUAGCUGGUCUGAGAGGAUGAUCAGCCACACUGGAACUGAGACACGGUCCAGACUCCUACGGGAGGCAGCAGUGGGGAAUCUUGCGCAAUGGGCGAAAGCCUGACGCAGCGACGCCGCGUGGGGGAUGAAGCUUCUCGGAGUGUAAACCCCUUUCGACUGGGACGAAUGCCCGCAAGGGAGUGACGGUACCAGUAGAAGAAGCCCCGGCUAACUACGUGCCAGCAGCCGCGGUAAGACGUAGGGGGCCAGCGUUGUUCGGAAUUACUGGGUGUAAAGGGUUCGUAGGCGGUGUGGCAAGUUGGGAGUGAAAUCUCUGGGCUUAACUCAGAGGCUGCUUCCAAAACUGCUGUGCUUGAGUGUGGGAGAGGCGCGUGGAAUUGCAGGUGUAGCGGUGAAAUGCGUAGAUAUCUGCAGGAACACCCGUGGCGAAAGCGGCGCGCUGGACCACAACUGACGCUGAGGAACGAAAGCUAGGGGAGCAAACAGGAUUAGAUACCCUGGUAGUCCUAGCCCUAAACGAUCAGGACUUGGGGUGCCGCCCGUUCGGGCGUCGUCCCGGAGCUAACGCGUUAAGUCCUGCACCUGGGGAGUACGGUCGCAAGACUGAAACUCAAAGGAAUUGACGGGGGCCCGCACAAGCGGUGGAACAUGUGGUUCAAUUCGA